RNAcentral lists this long non-coding RNA (3554 nucleotides) under Salmo salar (Atlantic salmon). Its description in RNAcentral is "lncRNA (ENSSSAG00000100078.1)". Lineage: Eukaryota; Metazoa; Chordata; Actinopteri; Salmoniformes; Salmonidae. The record is from RNAcentral.
AUCUGACCAUCACCCCUGGUGAGAAAAAACCACGACUUGUCAGUGAAGAUCACUUUUUGCCAGUCCUGUCUGGUCCAGCGACAGUGGAUUUGUGCCCAUAGGCGACGUUGUUGCCGGUGAUGUCUGGUGAGGACCUGCCUUACAACAGGCCUACAAGCCCUCAGUCCAGCCUCUUUCAGCCUAUUGCAGACAGUCUGAGCACUGAUGGAGGGGUUGUGCGUUCCUGGUGUAACUCAGGCAGUUGUUGUUGCCAUCCUGUACCUGUCCCGCAGGUGUGAUGUUCGGAUGUACCGAUCCUGUGCAGGUGUUGUUACACGUGGUCUGCCACUGCGAGGACGAUCAGCUGUCCGUCCUGUCUCCCUGAAGCGCUGUCUUAGGCGUCUCACAGUACGGAUAUUGCUAUUUUAUGCCCUGGCCACAUCUGCAGUCCUCAUGCCUUCUUGCAGCAUGCCUAAGGUACGUUCAUGCAAAUGAGCAGGGACCCUGGGCAUUUUUCUUUUGGUGUUUUUCAGAGUCAGUAAAAAGGCCUAUUUAGUGUCCUAAGUUUCCAUAACUGUGACCUUAGUGUCCUAAGUUUCCAUAACUGUGACCUUAAUUGCCUACUGUAUGUAAGCUGUUAGUGUCUUAAUGACCGUUCCACAGGUGCAUGUUCAUUAAUUGUUUAUGGUUCAUUGAACAAGCAUGGGAAACAAUGUUUAAACCCUUUACAAUGAAGAUCUGUGAAGUUAUUUGGAUUUUUACGAAUUAUCUUUGAAAGACAGGGUCCUGAAAAAGGGACUUUCUUUUUUUGCUGAGUUUAUAUGGAUGAUAAACCUGGGCCUAGGGCUACUAUGUUUUUGCCAGGCAGAACUGGUUUUGUCUAGAAGUGAUACAGCCUUUGUCAAAAUUGACUUUUCGUUGCAGGUUUAGAAGAACUUAGGCUGCAGGUUAUGAGAAUUAACACACAACACGCAAGUUUCGUAGGUUUACCACUCCUUUUUGGGGGUCGAGAGUCCAAAAGUUUGCAAACCACUUUGAUACAUAAUAGUGGUAACAAAUGGAUUUGGUUGGAUAUAGUAAUGGUAGGCUACAGUAUUUCUCACAAUCUUCUAUUUUGAUUGGACCCUUACGAAAAAAGAUUGCAGUCAGACUGCAGUAUAAAUGCAGUAUGCUGCAAAUACUGAGUCCAAAAUAACACUGUUUUUUACUGCAGUAAUUUUGCCAUGUAACUGCAGUUAGAGUGCAGUAUAACUGCAUUUAAAUAAAAUGUAUUCUUUAUUUUACUAGGCAAGUCAGUUAAGAACAAAUUCUUAUUUACAAUGACGGCCUACCCCGGCCAAACCCUAACUCGGACGACGCUGGGCCAAUUGUGCGCCGCCCUAUGGGUGUCACCCCUGCUCCCGCUCUCCCUCUCUGGCGCUCGAGGGCGCCAGGCUGUCAUUUAUUACUCACAACUGUCACCAUCAUUAUGCGCAGCAGCGCUCAUUGGACUCCUUCCCUUUGUUGAUUGCCCGGUCUGCUUUCCCGUUUGUUCCCUGUGUCUGCAUUAAUGUCGUUAUGUGUUCUUGUCCAGACGCUGUCCUGUCCUGUUCCAUGUCCGUUGAUAAUUAAAUGUUCACUCCCUGUACCUGCUUCUCGUCUCUACCAGCGUCGACACAUAGAAUUCACACCACUAAAAUAAUCAUCAGGGAGUUUUGGUUGGUGACGUCGGGCCCGGGUGCUAUAGCCGAGGGAACCGGGGGUGCCUCAGCUAGCUCGUUCGGCUCCCACGCCUGAGCCGGUUCACCAGGCUCCCACGCCUGUGCCAGUUCGUCGGGCUUCUACGCCCCAGCCGGCUUGUCCUGUGCCCAUGCCUCGUCAGGCACUCCCAGGUGGGACGCCGGGUGGCGCCUCUAGAUGGGGGGGUACUGUCACGCCUGCUCCUGCUCUCCCCUUCUGGCGCUCGAGGCUGCCCUUCGUUACACACACCUGUCACCAUCAUUACGCGCAGCAACACAUAUUGGACUCACUUGGACUCCUUCCCUUUGUUGAUUGCCCGGUCUAUAACUGUCUGCUUCCCCGUUUGUUCCCUGUGUCUGCGUUAAUAUCGUUAUGUGUUCUUGUCCAGACACUGUCCUGUCCUGUUCCAUGUCUGUUAAUAAUUAUAUUUUCGCUCCCUGUACCUGCUUCUCAUCUCUACCAGCGUUGAUUCUUACAAUUGGACUCCUAAAUAACGUCCGGUUGUGAUACAGCCUGGAAUAAAACCAGGGUCUGUAGUGACGCCUCUAGCACUGAGAUGCGGUGCCUUAGACCACUGCAGUUAUUCUGCAAUUACUGCGUCCAAAAUACCACAGUUGACUGCAGUUACUGCAAUUUUACUGCAGUUUCAAAAACUGCAAUCUUUUUUUGUUAGGGGAAUUGUGUUGGUCAUUGUUAAUAUAUGCAGCAUUUAUUCAAAUUCAAAAUAGUAUUGUAAAUACUAACUCAUCAGAUUGUGCUGCUUUCCCCUCUUCUUGUAACAAUUGCUCAAUGAAUCUGUGGCCGUGGUUGAGUAUUUUUUUUUGGGGGGGGGGUGCCCUUUUUUUGGUAUGCCCCCCAAAAGUGUGCAUGGCCCUAAGAGAGAUGAAUAAUAAUGUCUUACAGAUCAACACACCACUGUUCCUUUAAGCAACCUUCAUAUCCAACCAAGCACACACACAGACAGUUAGACAGAUAGAAGCUCAGUCUUUAGCUGAUUGUCUGAAGUAGUGCCACCAUCCUUGCGGUUGUCCCUCCUCUUCACCUGCUCCAGGAAUGGCUCCAUGAACCUGGCCAGGGCUGAGCAGCAAUGACUCAGACCGUACGCAUUCUCCACUUUCUGUAGAGCAGCCAGAGCUUAUCCAGGGAAGUGAAGAUGGCUCCGGAGAAGAAGGCAGACAUUUUACGUGCCCCCAACCGAUUGUGUUUUUUGGUUCGUUUAUUUGCGUUUUUUGUAACUUAUUGUUUUAUUUAUUUUGUGUAUAAUGUUGCCGCUACCGUCUCUUAUGACCAAAAAUAACUUCUGGACAUCAGGACUGCGAUUACUCACCACGGACUGGCAGAAUCCUUUUUUUCCUUUAAGGAGUCUGACGAGGCCGACGCGUAUGACAGACGACAUACUGCUUUCUCGGGAACAGGCCCAGAUCCCCGUGAUUUCAGUGAAGAGGAGGCAGAGAAAAAGGGUCUGGAGGGCGGGCUGCCUUCUGAGAAUUCAUAGGCGAUCAAAUAAACCCCCACUUCUUUCCAUUCUGCUAGCAAACGUGCAAUCUUUGGACAAUAAAAUAGAUUACCUAAACGGAAGAGUAAACUACCAAUGGGACAUUCAAAUCUGUAAUAUCUUAUGCUUCACGAUGACACUAUCAACAUACAGCUGGCCGGUUAUACGCUGCACCGGCAGUGUCACGGUUGUCAUAAGAACGGGACCAAGGCGCAGCGGAUGUUGAGUUCCACAUAUUUAUUACAAAGUGAAACUUUAAGCAAAAGCAAAUAAAUCAAUAAACGAACAACGAAACGUCACUAUGUGGUGCACAUGCACAAACACAAAACAAUAUCCCACAAAGACAGGUGGGAAAAAUAGC